CCGAAUGGGGAAACCCAGUGUGAUUCGUCACACUAUCAUUAACUGAAUCCAUAGGUUAAUGAGGCGAACCGGGGGAACUGAAACAUCUAAGUACCCCGAGGAAAAGAAAUCAACCGAGAUUCCCCCAGUAGCGGCGAGCGAACGGGGAGGAGCCCAGAGCCUGAAUCAGCAUGUGUGUUAGUGGAAGCGUCUGGAAAGGCGCGCGAUACAGGGUGACAGCCCCGUACACAAAAGCGCAUGUGCUGUGAGCUCGAUGAGUAGGGCGGGACACGUGGUAUCCUGUCUGAAUAUGGGGGGACCAUCCUCCAAGGCUAAAUACUCCUGACUGACCGAUAGUGAACCAGUACCGUGAGGGAAAGGCGAAAAGAACCCCGGCGAGGGGAGUGAAAAAGAACCUGAAACCGUGUACGUACAAGCAGUGGGAGCNNGUGACUGCGUACCUUUUGUAUAAUGGGUCAGCGACUUAUAUUCUGUAGCAAGGUUAACCGUAUAGGGGAGCCGGAGGGAAACCGAGUCUUAAUUGGGCGUUAAGUUGCAGGGUAUAGACCCGAAACCCGGUGAUCUAGCCAUGGGCAGGUUGAAGGUUGGGUAACACUAACUGGAGGACCGAACCGACUAAUGUUGAAAAAUUAGCGGAUGACCUGUGGCUGGGGGUGAAAGGCCAAUCAAACCGGGAGAUAGCUGGUUCUCCCCGAAAGCUAUUUAGGUAGCGCCUCGUGAAUUCAUCUCCGGGGGUAGAGCACUGUUUCGGCUAGGGGGCCAUCCCGGCUUACCAACCCGAUGCAAACUGCGAAUACCGGAGAAUGUUAUCACGGGAGACACACGGCGGGUGCUAACGUCCGUCGUGAAGAGGGAAACAACCCAGACCGCCAGCUAAGGUCCCAAAGUCAUGGUUAAGUGGGAAACGAUGUGGGAAGGCCCAGACAGCCAGGAUGUUGGCUUAGAAGCAGCCAUCAUUUAAAGAAAGCGUAAUAGCUCACUGGUCGAGUCGGCCUGCGCGGAAGAUGUAACGGGGCUAAACCAUGCACCGAAGCUGCGGCAGCGANNUGCUGGAGGUAUCAGAAGUGCGAAUGCUGACAUAAGUAACGAUAAAGCGGGUGAAAAGCCCGCUCGCCGGAAGACCAAGGGUUCCUGUCCAACGUUAAUCGGGGCAGGGUGAGUCGACCCCUAAGGCGAGGCCGAAAGGCGUAGUCGAUGGGAAACGGGUUAAUAUUCCCGUACUUGGUGUUACUGCGAAGGGGGGACGGAGAAGGCUAUGUUGGCCGGGCGACGGUUGUCCCGGUUUAAGCGUGUAGGUGUGUGUUCCAGGUAAAUCCGGUUCACUUUAACACUGAGGCGUGACGACGAGGCACUACGGUGCUGAAGCAACAAAUGCCCUGCUUCCAGGAAAAGCCUCUAAGCAUCAGGUAACAUCAAAUCGUACCCCAAACCGACACAGGUGGUCAGGUAGAGAAUACCAAGGCGCUUGAGAGAACUCGGGUGAAGGAACUAGGCAAAAUGGUGCCGUAACUUCGGGAGAAGGCACGCUGACACGUAGGUGAAGUGAUUUACUCAUGGAGCUGAAGUCAGUCGAAGAUACCAGCUGGCUGCAACUGUUUAUUAAAAACACAGCACUGUGCAAACACGAAAGUGGACGUAUACGGUGUGACGCCUGCCCGGUGCCGGAAGGUUAAUUGAUGGGGUCAGCGUAAGCGAAGCUCCUGAUCGAAGCCCCGGUAAACGGCGGCCGUAACUAUAACGGUCCUAAGGUAGCGAAAUUCCUUGUCGGGUAAGUUCCGACCUGCACGAAUGGCGUAAUGAUGGCCAGGCUGUCUCCACCCGAGACUCAGUGAAAUUGAACUCGCUGUGAAGAUGCAGUGUACCCGCGGCAAGACGGAAAGACCCCGUGAACCUUUACUAUAGCUUGACACUGAACAUUGAGCCUUGAUGUGUAGGAUAGGUGGGAGGCUUUGAAGUGUGGACGCCAGUCUGCAUGGAGCCGACCUUGAAAUACCACCCUUUAAUGUUUGAUGUUCUAACGUGGACCCGUAAUCCGGGUUGCGGACAGUGUCUGGUGGGUAGUUUGACUGGGGCGGUCUCCUCCUAAAGAGUAACGGAGGAGCACGAAGGUUGGCUAAUCCUGGUCGGACAUCAGGAGGUUAGUGCAAUGGCAUAAGCCAGCUUGACUGCGAGCGUGACGGCGCGAGCAGGUGCGAAAGCAGGUCAUAGUGAUCCGGUGGUUCUGAAUGGAAGGGCCAUCGCUCAACGGAUAAAAGGUACUCCGGGGAUAACAGGCUGAUACCGCCCAAGAGUUCAUAUCGACGGCGGUGUUUGGCACCUCGAUGUCGGCUCAUCACAUCCUGGGGCUGAAGUAGGUCCCAAGGGUAUGGCUGUUCGCCAUUUAAAGUGGUACGCGAGCUGGGUUUAGAACGUCGUGAGACAGUUCGGUCCCUAUCUGCCGUGGGCGCUGGAGAACUGAGGGGGGCUGCUCCUAGUACGAGAGGACCGGAGUGGACGCAUCACUGGUGUUCGGGUUGUCAUGCCAAUGGCACUGCCCGGUAGCUAAAUGCGGAAGAGAUAAGUGCUGAAAGCAUCUAAGCACGAAACUUGCCCCGAGAUGAGUUCUCCCUGAGACUUAGAGUCUCCUGAAGGAACGUUGAAGACGACGACGUUGAUAGGCCGGGUGUGUAAGCGCAGCGAUGCGUUGAGCUAACCGGUACUAAUGAACCGUGAGGCUUAACCUUACAAC
This 2728-nucleotide ribosomal RNA is filed under the name Salmonella enterica subsp. enterica serovar Typhimurium. RNAcentral's name for it is "partial 23S ribosomal RNA". It matches the Rfam family "Bacterial large subunit ribosomal RNA". Lineage: Bacteria; Pseudomonadati; Pseudomonadota; Gammaproteobacteria; Enterobacterales; Enterobacteriaceae. The record is from RNAcentral.